AGUACGGCCGCAAGGUUAAAACUCAAAGGAAUUGACGGGGACCCGCACAAGCGGUGGAGCAUGUGGUUUAAUUCGAUGCAACGCGAAGAACCUUACCUGGUCUUGACAUCCUGCGAACUUUCUAGAAAUAGAUUGGUGCCUUCGGGAACGCAGUGACAGGUGCUGCAUGGCUGUCGUCAGCUCGUGUCGUGAGAUGUUGGGUUAAGUCCCGUAACGAGCGCAACCCCUAUCCUUAUUUGCCAGCACAUCAUGGUGGGAACUAUAAGGAGACUGCCGGUGAUAAACCGGAGGAAGGCGGGGACGACGUCAAGUCAUCAUGGCCCUUACGACCAGGGCUACACACGUGCUACAAUGGGAAGGACAAAGAGCCGCGAAGCCGCGAGGUGUAGCUAAUCUCAUAAACCUUUUCGUAGUCCGGAUUGGAGUCUGCAACUCGACUCCAUGAAGUCGGAAUCGCUAGUAAUCGUAGAUCAGAAUGCUACGGUGAAUACGUUCCCGGGUCUUGUACACACCGCCCGUCAUACCAUGGGAGUUGGUUCUACCCGACGACGCUGCGCUAACCCUUACGGGAGGCAGGCGGCCACGGUAGGAUCAGCGACUGGGGUGAAGUCGUAACAAGGUAACC
Molecule: ribosomal RNA, 625 nt
Filed under: uncultured marine bacterium
Lineage: Bacteria
Description: bacterial SSU rRNA
Rfam family: Bacterial small subunit ribosomal RNA
Source: RNAcentral